This is a long non-coding RNA of Mugil cephalus (flathead mullet), 909 nucleotides long. RefSeq lists it as uncharacterized. NCBI's taxonomy places the organism in Eukaryota, Metazoa, Chordata, Actinopteri, Mugiliformes, Mugilidae. The transcript is spliced from 3 exons. The record is from RefSeq and is a predicted model, not a curated record.
UACCGACAGAAGCCUAAUAUAACGUUAGUUUACCUUCCUCACGAGUCCCGACAAGUUCGGAGCAAACUUCAGCAGCUAACUGCUAGCAAGUUCAGCCAUCAAAGUCUAGGACAAAAUAUACAAAUAAGUCUUAUUAAGUCUUAAAAUCCUGCACAGUCUAAUAUAACGUAGGUUUCAGAAGUAAAACCUCACUUUUCUCUGGCUUAUAAGUCCCAAUGAAGUCCUAGUGAAGACGGUGACAAAGCUGUUAACUCUGAUGUAUUGUUGAAUCAGGCUCCUCAACACCGAGUGGAUGAACACUGAAAUAUUACACCGCCAAAGAGUUACCCUGAACACAACCUGUAGUCAAAUGUAGAGAAUAAACUCCCAAAAUCUAACACUUUAACACUUUUUUGUUUAACUCCAGAUUUUUGAACAGAAACAGAAAUUUGCUGUGUAGCAGCUUUAACUGACAGAAUCAGAGCCAAUCAGUGGAGGAUCAGCUGAUGUUUUUACAGCACAAAUGAUUCCAGAUAAUAUCAGAUGAAUGAUUUGUGUUUCCUCUGCACAUGAAGGUAGAAGGUUGAUGUGGAUUCAGCAGCAUGGACCAGAGGGAGGACAAAGAGGAGGGAGUCAGACAUCUGCAGGACGGGUUGACUGGUUUCAGUCAUUCACCUGAUCCCAGCUGUGUUUCCCUCAGAAGUGAUUGGUCACAACAUCGUAACAUUGAUUUUAAAGGACAUCAACCUUCUGCUCCUGAGAGGAUCAAUCCAGACCCCAGCUGUGUGUCCCUCAACAGUGAUUGGUCACAACAUCGUAACAUUGAUUUUAAAGGACAUCAACCCUCUGCUCCUGAGAGAGUCCACCAGCAGAGCUCAGAGGUUCUCAGUGGUCAGUCUACCCAGCAGCAUCAGACACAGCUGGACUCCA